AGUGGCGUAAGUGUGCGUAACACGUGGGCAAUCUGCCGAAGAGUGGGGGAUAGCUCGCCAAAAGGCGAAUUAAUACCGCAUGUGGCUUGUGAAGGAAUCUUCACUGGGCCAAAGCCGGGGCAACCUGGCGCUCUUUGAUGAGCCCGCGGCCUAUCAGCUUGUUGGCGGGGUAACGGCCCACCAAGGCGAUGACGGGUAGCUGGUCUGAGAGGACGACCAGCCACACUGGAACUGAGACACGGUCCAGACACCUACGGGUGGCAGCAGUCGAGAAUUUUUCUCAAUGGGGGAAACCCUGAAGGAGCGACGCCGCGUGGAGGAUGAAGGUCUUCGGAUUGUAAACUCCUGUCAUUAGGGAACAAUUGUUCGCGAUUAACUGUCGCGGGCUUGAUAGUACCUGAAGAGGAAGAGACGGCUAACUCUGUGCCAGCAGCCGCGGUAAUACAGAGGUCUCAAGCGUUGUUCGGAUUCAUUGGGCGUAAAGGGUGCGUAGGCGGCGGGGCAAGUCAGGUGUGAAAUCUCGGGGCUCAACUCCGAAACUGCACUUGA
Molecule: ribosomal RNA, 549 nt
Filed under: uncultured bacterium
Lineage: Bacteria
Description: bacterial SSU rRNA
Rfam family: Bacterial small subunit ribosomal RNA
Source: RNAcentral